CAGUCCAACCUGGUGCUGGUCUCCGCCAUCAACGGAGCCUGCCCCGCUGGAGGCUGCCUGGUGGCCCUGACCUGUGACUACCGCAUCCUGGCGGACAACCCCAGGUACUGCAUAGGACUCAAUGAGACCCAGCUGGGCAUCAUCGCCCCUUUCUGGUUGAAAGACACCCUGGAGAACACCAUCGGGCACCGGGCGGCGGAGCGUGCCCUGCAGCUGGGGCUGCUCUUCCCGCCGGCGGAGGCCCUGCAGGUGGGCAUAGUGGACCAGGUGGUCCCGGAGGAGCAGGUGCAGAGCACUGCGCUGUCAGCAAUAGCCCAGUGGAUGGCCAUUCCAGGUGAGGCACAGGGCAUGGCAGGCGCCCGAUGAUGCUGGGGAGACCAGAAGGUUCUCCACCCAAAGGUUUUCUGUGGACAUCGUGACUUCGGGAGACUGUUGAUAAUCACAGCUAUGUGGGUGUCAGGAGGCUGCUGUAACAACGCAGCACAGACCGGGUGGCCCAGACCGCAGAAGCUCAUCUCACAGGGCUGGAGACCAGAGGUGCAAAAUCAAGGUGUGGGCAGGGCUGCACUUCCUCCCUGCGUUCCAGGGAGGCUCCUUCCUGCCCCACCCACUUCUGCUGGCUUCAGGCCUCCCUGGGCUUGUGGGCGCCUCGCUCUAAUCUCUGCCUCCAUCCUUACGCAGCUUUCUCCCCUGUGUUUCUGUGGGUCUCAGGUCUCUCUCUCCCUUCUCAGGACACCUGCCAUGUGAUUUAGGACCUACCCUAAAUCCAAGAUGAUCCCAACUUAAUUACAUCUGCAGAGACUCUUUCCAAAUAAGGUCACACUUCCAAGUUCCAGAGCAGUGGUUAGGGCUUGGACCUAUCUUUUGGGGCACACUUUUCAACCUACUACAAAGACAAUUGUCCACUUCAUAGAAAAAGAGCUGGUCAUAUCAGCAAUGGUAUAGACCAGGGCCCAGCAAAUUCU
This 965-nucleotide small RNA is filed under the name Pan troglodytes (chimpanzee). RNAcentral's name for it is "retained intron". Lineage: Eukaryota; Metazoa; Chordata; Mammalia; Primates; Hominidae. The record is from RNAcentral.